GGGUUAGUAGGUUGGUCGUGCUUAUGGUGUACACUGGCUUUACUGAUUCCUCCUUCUUGAAGAACUGUAAUGUCAUUAGUUUGGUGUUGCAGGGAAACAGGACUGCUACUUUGAAAAAAUUAGAGUGUUUAAAGCAGGCUAACGCUUGAAUACAUUAGCAUGGAAUAAUGAAAUAGGACGUUUGACCCUAUUUUGUUGGUUUCUAGGAUUGACGUA
This 216-nucleotide ribosomal RNA is filed under the name Campeiostachys nutans. Its description in RNAcentral is "Elymus nutans partial small subunit ribosomal RNA". The stretch from base 39 to 216 matches the Rfam family "Eukaryotic small subunit ribosomal RNA", at positions 685 to 864 of the family's 1831-position model. Lineage: Eukaryota; Viridiplantae; Streptophyta; Magnoliopsida; Poales; Poaceae. The record is from RNAcentral.